GGGAGCAGAAGGGUGCUGGUGUGCCUGCCGGACUUCAAAUCCGGUUCCUCGUCCAAAAAGGCGAGGGGUGGGUUCGAUUCCCACAUGCUCCC
RNAcentral lists this transfer RNA (92 nucleotides) under Coprothermobacter proteolyticus DSM 5265. Its description in RNAcentral is "Selenocysteine transfer RNA". It matches the Rfam family "Selenocysteine transfer RNA". Lineage: Bacteria; Pseudomonadati; Coprothermobacterota; Coprothermobacteria; Coprothermobacterales; Coprothermobacteraceae. The record is from Rfam by way of RNAcentral.